ACGCUUCUUUUUCCACCGGAGCUUGCUCCACCGGAAAAAGAAGAGUGGCGAACGGGUGAGUAACACGUGGGUAACCUGCCCAUCAGAAGGGGAUAACACUUGGAAACAGGUGCUAAUACCGUAUAACAAUCGAAACCGCAUGGUUUUGAUUUGAAAGGCGCUUUCGGGUGUCGCUGAUGGAUGGACCCGCGGUGCAUUAGCUAGUUGGUGAGGUAACGGCUCACCAAGGCCACGAUGCAUAGCCGACCUGAGAGGGUGAUCGGCCACAUUGGGACUGAGACACGGCCCAAACUCCUACGGGAGGCAGCAGUAGGGAAUCUUCGGCAAUGGACGAAAGUCUGACCGAGCAACGCCGCGUGAGUGAAGAAGGUUUUCGGAUCGUAAAACUCUGUUGUUAGAGAAGAACAAGGAUGAGAGUAACUGUUCAUCCCUUGACGGUAUCUAACCAGAAAGCCACGGCUAACUACGUGCCAGCAGCCGCGGUAAUACGUAGGUGGCAAGCGUUGUCCGGAUUUAUUGGGCGUAAAGCGAGCGCAGGCGGUUUCUUAAGUCUGAUGUGAAAGCCCCCGGCUCAACCGGGGAGGGUCAUUGGAAACUGGGAGACUUGAGUGCAGAAGAGGAGAGUGGAAUUCCAUGUGUAGCGGUGAAAUGCGUAGAUAUAUGGAGGAACACCAGUGGCGAAGGCGGCUCUCUGGUCUGUAACUGACGCUGAGGCUCGAAAGCGUGGGGAGCAAACAGGAUUAGAUACCCUGGUAGUCCACGCCGUAAACGAUGAGUGCUAAGUGUUGGAGGGUUUCCGCCCUUCAGUGCUGCAGCUAACGCAUUAAGCACUCCGCCUGGGGAGUACGACCGCAAGGUUGAAACUCAAAGGAAUUGACGGGGGCCCGCACAAGCGGUGGAGCAUGUGGUUUAAUUCGAAGCAACGCGAAGAACCUUACCAGGUCUUGACAUCCUUUGACCACUCUAGAGAUAGAGCUUCCCCUUCGGGGGCAAAGUGACAGGUGGUGCAUGGUUGUCGUCAGCUCGUGUCGUGAGAUGUUGGGUUAAGUCCCGCAACGAGCGCAACCCUUAUUGUUAGUUGCCAUCAUUUAGUUGGGCACUCUAGCAAGACUGCCGGUGACAAACCGGAGGAAGGUGGGGAUGACGUCAAAUCAUCAUGCCCCUUAUGACCUGGGCUACACACGUGCUACAAUGGGAAGUACAACGAGUCGCGAAGUCGCGAGGCUAAGCUAAUCUCUUAAAGCUUCUCUCAGUUCGGAUUGUAGGCUGCAACUCGCCUACAUGAAGCCGGAAUCGCUAGUAAUCGCGGAUCAGCACGCCGCGGUGAAUACGUUCCCGGGCCUUGUACACACCGCCCGUCACACCACGAGAGUUUGUAACACCCGAAGUCGGUGAG
RNAcentral lists this ribosomal RNA (1396 nucleotides) under Enterococcus durans. Its description in RNAcentral is "bacterial SSU rRNA". It matches the Rfam family "Bacterial small subunit ribosomal RNA", at positions 66 to 1434 of the family's 1533-position model. Lineage: Bacteria; Bacillati; Bacillota; Bacilli; Lactobacillales; Enterococcaceae. The record is from RNAcentral.